RNAcentral lists this long non-coding RNA (287 nucleotides) under Lathyrus oleraceus (garden pea). Its description in RNAcentral is "Pisum sativum (pea) long non-coding RNA (PSAT_LNC038370)". Lineage: Eukaryota; Viridiplantae; Streptophyta; Magnoliopsida; Fabales; Fabaceae. The record is from RNAcentral.
AAAAAAAAAAGCUUCAUUUUUACACUUUUGCAAAAAUCUGUCAAAAGUCUCAAAGAGACUAAGCUUUGCCUUACCUAAAACAUCAUCAAAAACAACUAUGGAGCUCAUUCAAACAUGGUUUCUUCAACUGUAAAGCUUCAUUCCCGACUGUUUUCUACAUGAACUCAACAAUGGCAGUCCGAGUUCUAGACCUUUUCAAGUCGUUUCAAGCCAAACUCCUUCACUCAUUCAUCAUUUGGAGGCUUAUUGAGCAUCUGUUUUAGGCCAACAACACCAAAAACCACGAU